This 1702-nucleotide unclassified non-coding RNA is filed under the name Aplysia californica (California sea hare). RNAcentral's name for it is "glutamyl-tRNA(Gln) amidotransferase subunit C, mitochondrial, transcript variant X1". Lineage: Eukaryota; Metazoa; Mollusca; Gastropoda; Aplysiida; Aplysiidae. The record is from RNAcentral.
CAAUUCCUCCAACCAAAUCCAAGCGAAGUUUUGGUGUGCAGUUUACAAUAGGCCUAAAAGUUCAUUAAUUAAUUCAGAGUUCGUUGGCCAGGCAGUGUUCGUAGCCAAGAUAUAAUCUAGAGUUCUCAAUUGUCAGCAAUGCAACAUUUGAGUCAGAAGUGCUUGGGAGUGUGUUGGACCUUUGCAAGACUUCGAGCUGUGCGACAGCUCUCAUCAAAAGUACCACCAAAACCAACAUGGGAAAAAGUGGACUUUGAUGCUUUACCAAAGGUCCCAGAGGUAGAUUUAGCACUCGUUGAACAACUGGAGCGGAUCUCCCUGGUUGAGUUCAAUAAUGAGACAGGACUUGAGUGGCUUCGCAGUUCUGUCAAGUCGGCCAAUCGACUUCACGUAGUCGAUACAGAGGGUGUGGAGCCUUUGGACAAUGUUUUGGAGGACAGGUAACCUCAUCUUUCCUGUGAGUGGUUGGAGGGCACCAGUGAGAGUUGUGGCUCUGUGAGGAUCAAGUGACAGAGGGAAACUGUACUGAACAAGUUUUGUUGAACGCCUUGAAAACAGAAGAGCAGUACUUUGUAGCACCUCCUGGUAAUGUGCCAUUAAAGAAAAGAGACAAGCAACAUCUUAAACUUGGCCUGCAAGAAGAUGAGGAUUCGUCCUGACAGUGAUAGAUCAUUUGACUCUAAGGAGCCACAUUUUGUGAAACAUGAAUGGUGUUUGAUGUGUUUGGAGACCUAGUAACAAAAAACUUUGCUUACGUCUGCUAUACUUAUAGAAAUGAGAAAUAUGAGAGUGAGAAUUGAAAAAAUUGAAGGAGAUUGCAUUUGUUGGCCCCUUUCCAGACUAAAGCCCCGGUUACAUGCAACAAUAAAUUGUGUCAGAUUCAUUGUAUGCGAGAACUGUCCGUUUUAUUAAACUGUGAUGUCUGUUUUCACGUUCCAAUCUAUCGUCAAGUUUUCUUUCGAUCGAAGAGAUUCCUCGUCAUAAUUAAGCCAUCAUGUCUCUUUGCGACAACAGCGAUUUGCCUGCUCUCUAUGUGAAGGUAUCGAGCUCGGGACUUUCUGAAUGAAAAGCGAACAUUGUACCUCUAGAUCGCGAGAAAUCCCCCUACCAACCCCUUCCCCUGUACAUUUUGGUUAUAGCAGAACAGCGUCUUUAGAAAAAGGUGGCCAUACUGUAGUGUUGUGUGUAGAAAGAGAAGCUUUGACUUGGCAGCAGAUGUGCAACGCACCGAGUGACCUUGAUGCACAAUUUCACUAUUGAUGAUCAAUUAAAUAAUAAAAUUACUAAAAUUUACAUAAUUUCACAUCGAAUCAGGUUCCCUGCUAUCUGCUCUGCUUAUUUUGAGAUACUGUUUCCGAAUAUGAAAUCAGUUUUAAGAUGCAAUUAUUAUUUUUUAAAUUUUGCGCCUUAAAUUAAGUCCUGGUCGGCUGUGAAUUUCAAAGUGAUUCUAGUCAAAGCGUGUCUCCCCCAAAUCUGACCACGAUUGCACGGAAAAUAUCAAGCAGCGUUUGAUUUCUCGACCGAGUCUCCAAGCCAUCAUCUCAUCGUCCAAAUUUUGAACAAUUUUGUUGUUACACCUAACGAUUUAUCGUAUGAUCGCUAGAUCGUCCAGUUUUUGUACAAUUUAUCAUUACCGGUACGUGUAACCGGGCCGUAACUCAUGGAUUUAAUAAAGGUGACAAUAAAUUAUAAUGGCACCGCU